CCGCGUGAACGAAGACGGCUACUGCGGGUGUGUGAAAGUUCUUUUAUGGUGGGGAAGAAGAGCGUGACGGUACCACAUGAAUGAAGCCCCGGCUAACUACGUGCCAGCAGCCGCGGUAAUACGUAGGGGGCGAGCGUUGUCCGGAAUUACUGGGCGUAAAGGGCACGCAGGCUGUGCUUCAAGUCAGCUGUAAAAGGAUGCGGCUUAACCGUGUUAUGCAGUUGAGACUGAGGUGCUGGAGUACCGGAGAGGCAAGUGGAAUUCCCAGUGUAGCGGUGAAAUGCGUAGAUAUUGGGAAGAACAUCGGUGGCGAAGGCGACUUGCUGGACGGUAACUGACGCUGAGGUGCGAAAGCCAGGGUAGCGAACGGGAUUAGAUACCCCGGUAGUCCUGGCGGUAAACGAUGAAUGCUAGGUGUGCGAGCAGAGAUGUUGGUGUGCCGCAGUUAACGCGAUAAGCAUUCCGCCUGGGGAGUACGGUCGCAAGAUUGAAACUCAAAGGAAUUGACGGGGCCCGCACAAGCGGUGGAGCACGUGGUUUAAUUCGAUGCAACCGAAGAACCUACCUGGGU
This 571-nucleotide ribosomal RNA is filed under the name Synergistetes bacterium oral taxon 361. RNAcentral describes it as "bacterial SSU rRNA". It matches the Rfam family "Bacterial small subunit ribosomal RNA", at positions 397 to 980 of the family's 1533-position model. The record is from RNAcentral. Lineage: Bacteria; Thermotogati; Synergistota.